AGAGGUUGAUGGAUCUCUCCCUAAAAUUUGGUGGACUCACGACACUCGUGGCACACCAAUCUUACUUCCCGAACCCUAGGUAGAAACCCUAGGGUACACACCAAAAACCCUGCGCCCAAUUUUCUUUCUUUUCUUUAUUUUUUUCUCAGAAGGUUUUGGAUCUUCACCUCAUGCACAAGGCUUCCUCAUGCCCCACUUUCUUUCUCAAAAUUUUUCUACGCACACCCC
RNAcentral lists this long non-coding RNA (228 nucleotides) under Elaeis guineensis (African oil palm). RNAcentral's name for it is "long non-coding RNA (EGUI_LNC049830)". The record is from RNAcentral. Lineage: Eukaryota; Viridiplantae; Streptophyta; Magnoliopsida; Arecales; Arecaceae.